RNAcentral lists this long non-coding RNA (276 nucleotides) under Capsella rubella. Its description in RNAcentral is "long non-coding RNA (CRUB_LNC001258)". Lineage: Eukaryota; Viridiplantae; Streptophyta; Magnoliopsida; Brassicales; Brassicaceae. The record is from RNAcentral.
GAAUAUUAACGACACAUGCGAUUAAGUCAGUAACUAGGAAUCCACUAGGAAGCUCUUCUAUCUCACUGAAACAGCCUAAGGACUAAGGAGGACACUCGAUUUCACAAUUAUGUCCGCCUAAUUUACAUCAUAUUCAUAUUUGGGUUAUCACAUGGGAUUAUUGAUCAAUGCAUGUGAAUAUAUUUGUUUUACUCUACACCAAAAAAAAAAAAGCAGAAUACGUCAGUACACAAGACAUAUAUAUAUCUCGAAAUAACGUAUGGUUUUUGCCUUGCC